AUUUCAGAGCAGCACCAUAGAAUGAUGGGAAAGAAAGAUACAAACUAGUUCACUUUGCUACUUAAUAGGUUUCUGGUAAAUGCAAGACCAGACUAGAAAGUAGACUAAAAUAAGAUUUCCCCAAGUUCUACCUCAGAAUUUCAAUUAUUCAUGCGUUCCUUGGCUUCUGCCACGAUGACUAAUCGAGAGCUAGCUAAGAUGAAGGCAGCGAUGAAAAGCAGUACAUUUUCAAGGAGCAAAAGAAAUCAGGAUAGACCUAAAGGAAAAUGAUAAGUCCUAAAAAUCUAGGAGAAAAAAAAGAGUCUAGAAAUUGUAGUGACAGAAAUUUAAUUUGCUUUGACUCCCUAGAGCAUUUACAUCUGUAUCACCAACUUGGCACUCGGCACCUACUGGCUUGUGCUGUUAUUCGUCCUCGCCACAAGAGCUGGCUUUUAUUUAUUUAUUUAUUUACUUUCGCUUUUUAGGCUGCACGUGCACCAUAUGGAAGUUCCCAGGCUAAGGGCUGAACUGGAGCUGCAGCUGCUGGCCUACACCACAGCCACAACAACUCGGGAUCCAAGCCACACCUGCAACCUACAUGACAGCUCACGGCAAUGCCGGAUCCUUAACCCACUGAGCAAGGCCAGGGAUGGAACCCACAUCCUCAUGGAAUACUAGUGGGGCUUGUUACCGCUGAGCCAUAAGGGGAACUCCAACUUUUUACUGAUAAGAAAAAGGUUUGGGGUAAGGAAGCUGCUCAAGGCCUUUGGGUCUGUGGUAGCAUAAAAGGUGGACCUAAGUCUGGUUGACCCUCAAACCCUUUCCCCCCAGCUUUCCCAGUGUCAAGGGGAACUAGUUACAGGUCUUAUUCUCCUUCCUAAGGAAACUGUAAGCAGCCAAAUGGAAGGUGGGGUUGGAAUCCUUAAUGGGACAGGGACCUAGAGGUUCCAUAUCAUUGCUUCGCUCACUGUCUCCUGGGCAGGGCUCAGUAAGUGCUACUGACUGUGUCUCCAUCUUGGGAGGGGAUUUUUGUUUGUUUCUGUGCCAUUGUUGUUUCUCCAGAAAGGCCAGCUGCAGCAAUGCUGUUGCUGUGUAUGGGAUAGCAGGGAUCCUGCCACUGACAGUAUAGACUGUGUCAGGUAAUAUAACACUAUUUAAAAUGUGCACAACCCUGUGCUUUCAGUUAUAGGCAGGUAAUAUACACACACAUCCAUUCCAGCAGCCCUUGCGGGGCAGGCAAAGGGGUGCAAACUGCUUCAUCCAAGCAGGCACUGAGUAUCACUGCCAACGCAGUGACAGCGGUCAGGCUGUCUCACUCCACUCUAAAGAUAGCUUUGUCAGGAAGAGAGGCACUGCAAUCUGUCACGACGAAUGGAAGUGUAAUCUCACCAGCCUGAAAAGCAGGGGUCACAUUGAGCCCCUUUUACAGAACAGAAAGAAAUGCUAGCAUGUCAGGGUGUCUAAGCUGAAAAGAGAAAGCAGUUUAGCUGCUGGCUGGAUAGCUCUGUUUCAUUAAUUUAAAACAAAUGAGUGGCCCCAAAGAAAAGAUGGAAAUUGUGUCCCUGCUUAUGAAAAAUUACUGUAAGUUUUUCACAUAUUCUUGUCAAUUCAUUCAGCGGUACUUAACCAGCAUAUUCCAGAGACUGCAAUACAAACACUGCCAUCCUCACAGGGACCACAGCUUCCACAGGGGUCACCACUCAACUCAGUGAACACGUAUGUACCAUUUUCAUCCACAGGAAGAUAAGUAGUUAACUCAGUGAGAGAUGAAAUUCGAGGUCUUUCUCAGAAACUAGGCCUACAAUCUUGGAAGCUUUUGGAAACUAUCAUACAGACAAAAAGGACCAUCCCGGAAAGUCUUUCUUCCAAAAAUUGUUAAAAAUGAUAAAUGGACCCUCCAUCACUUUGGGCCAGACCAUAUGUCCCUCUGACAUUAUUCAAGAAACAAAUGGAGAUGGAAUAGCGAUUCCUCAAUCCUCAAAAACUUUAUAGUGCCUUCUGGGCUUCAUUUGCUCCAUUUUUAGUAGCCAAAGGACCAUGCUUCAGCCUGCAGCUGUCCUGUCCUGCUCCAGGAGCCCCACCGGCUUCCUAAGUGACCUUGGGUAAAGUGCUUAACCUUCUUGCAUUUUAGUGAGUCCAACUGCGAAAUCAGAAAGAUAAUGACAACAACAAUAACAAGGCUCAGGACCUCCAUACCUCGCUGAAGGUUUAUGAAUUAAUCAUAUUGGACUCUGAAAGUGCUUUUAUGCUGUUAAAGCAUUUGACAAGAGUUAGCAAAUUCCCACACUAAUGUAAUAUAUAUGGUCCAGAGAAUUACGUCAGAGGCUAUGCGUGGCAGAGUGCAUUGCAGGUUACUUUGUGGUAACAUUAAAAGAGAUGCAUUCUUUAACUGCCUUUGCUAUUUACCCUAGGGAGGAACAGGAAGAAAAGCAGUUUUAAAACCCUGCAUCCAGUUUAGUGAGAAUUAUAAAAGUAUCUGAGUAAAGGAUGAGCCUUUGACAGUUUUAAUGCAAGCUCUGGAAAGAGGUAAUGGAUAACUGUGAGGUGACUGAUCCUCCAUUUUAUCCCAGCAGUUUAUUCCUUUUUCCCAACUCUGCCUUAACACUGUCACAAUGGCCUCCUCGCUCACACUCCUCCAUAACCUGCCCUUCUCUUCCAUCAAAGAUGCAACUUCGAAGGCUGACCCUGAAUCUAUCCAUCUAGUUGCACGGAGAACAUCUUAACUAUCAAAUGAAAUCACCAUUAUUUUGAUAGAUCACGUGAUGCAUUGUUAAUUGCACUGAACUUUAUGCUGACACAUGACCACUGUUAGACCAUCAGCGUAGGUGCCAAGCCCUAGGCUCCCACUUCCUAAAUAGUAACGUGGACCAGGCAUAGGGCUCCUCGGUUCCAUAGGCACGGAUGGUGCUUAUUAAUGUACAAACAGUGCUUAGACAUUUAUCAGAGCACAAGGUUUCAAAAACACACCAUCACCAAUACUCACUACCUGGACUCGACACAUGUGACUCUGUAGAUAACAUUUCAGACUCCAUGUCCUUCAUCAGGAAUGUGGAAGAUGUGGACCAAAACUUCCUUAUCGGAAACCUGUUCAGUUUACAUGGCUCCUGUGCCUUCCUGUAUCUGUUGGGUGCCUUCCUCAUCUCAUGCUGCCCAGUAUCAUUCAAAGACUCCCAGGUCUCCUUUCCUAUAAAAACAGAUCUGCCAGCAAAUUGUUCAGUCCUGAGAUAUAGAGACACACACACACACACACACACACACACACACACACACGAGGCUUUGCAGCAUCUCAUCAUCAAGUGGUUGCGGCUGAUGCUUACUUGUGUCAUGACUGGUGUGCAAGAGUCAUUGAACAAUGGCGUGAGAACCUAAGUGCGAACCACUGGGAGGUCUGGGGCACUGCUGUAAAACCCUGAGGAACUACUUUGUAAGGCAAAUAGUUUCUUCUGUUUCUGCUUUAAAGCAUCUCUUUGAUGGAGCAGUGGGUUCCUGCCCCAGGGCUGCCCCUGAGCAGGAAUAGGACCUUGGACAGAUACCUCAGUUCCUUAAGCCACUGACACUCCUUCAAAGGCUUGAACUUGAUAACCUCUCAGCUCCCCAUUAAUCUUAUACAUAUAUGAAUGAUUCCAUGAUUUUUCAUAAUCAUGUCUUUUUUUUUUGGAGCCACACCCACAGUAUAUGGAGGUCCUCAGGCUAGGGGUCUAAUCUAAUCGGAGCUGCUGCUGCCAGCCUACGCCAGAGCCACAGCAACGCCAGAUUCAAGCCGCGUCUGCAACCUACACCACAGCUCACGGCAAUGCCGGAUCCUUAACCCACUGAGCAAGGCCAGGGAUUGAACCCGCAAUCUCAUGGUUCCUAGUUGGAUUUGUUUCUGCUGCACCACGACUGGAACUCCAAUCAUGUCUUUUUUUAAAGAUACAUUAAAGGAAUGCAGACACCCUCUAUGAUUUUUUAAAUAACCAAUCCUAAUUUUCUAUGCAGCUUUUGGAAAGCUGGAGUAAAGGAUAAACUUCUAUUUAGAAUCCACACACACACACACAAAGAAAAAAAAAACACACACAUUGCACAUAAAUAAGAAGAGGUAACGGACAUAAAAUUAAAAGUAAGCAUCAAUUGAAAUAAAAUCCAAACUGUUGUUCCUAUACCAGAAGAUGGAAAGCUGGAGAUAACAAAGAGGAUCCUGCGGGGAACCUGGCCUCUCCUUUCACUGCUCUCCUUCCUAUUAAUUGAUCCCCAAAGAUGCGGAAAAUAUUUAGGCAAUUUUUUUUUUUAAUGUCCUGAAUGGCAAGAACAGAGCUACAAUAAAGUCAAAUCAAGAGGAAGUAAGUCCAUAAAAGCCUGAUAGGGAACAAAGCAAGGUGGACAAAAUCAAAGUCUCUAAAGGGUGGAUGGAUGAAUCAGCCUUAUAAAAUUCCACUUCUGGUUACACCUGUGCUAAGGCAGAUCUCAGGUGUAUCAGUCUCUAUGUUAGCUACGUCUCCACUCUGGAAACAAUGAUAUGCUGGAUGCAUCAUGAGUACCAAUGUGCUGGAGUGUUUAGCGGAAAGAUAUGACUAUUACAAAUAAGCAGUCACUAAUGUUGGAAUUACAGCUACAUCUGUGGCCAUGUAAUUAGCUGUAAAGCUCAGCAUCUGUCAUGAAAUUGCAACUACGAUAUGUGAACUGAUAACACCAACAAUUAAAACAAUAACACCACAGAGCCUCAAAGAAGCUUUAAUUAUUCAUUUAAUUUGGAAAGUAAAGCUGGAGAGGGCAGCUGCUAAAUAUCUAGCUUUUCUUGACUCAGUCCUGCUCAUCUGGUUUUUGAAUUUUUUCCUACUGUUCAUGUGAUUCCCUUCUGUAUUUAAUGAACCCUGAUUUCCCUGGAAGUCCUACAAAAUAGACCACUGUUCAAUCCCAGUACUUUCAAUUACGUCGGAUGUGUGAGCAUAUUAUUAGCUCUCUAAAAUGGACCAUCAACCCAAACUUCACUAGAAUAAGGGCUACUCUGAUAUUUAAUGCACUCAAAUAGUGCAAUUAAAAUAAAGACAGUGACUGCUAUGUAUCUCUAAAUUUAGUCAACAAAAAUUUGUGAGUCUACCAUGUAAAUGUCGUUCACUAAAUGCAGUUCUACCUCCAUUUAAAUUACUCUAAAACUUUAUAGUCAAGAAAAGCAAAAGGGGGAGUUCCCAUCGUGACUCAGCAAGUUAAGAACCCAACUAGUAUCCAUGAGGAUGUAGGUUCAAUCCCUGGCCUUGGUCAGUGGGUCAAGGAUCCGGCAUUGCCACGAGCUGUGGUACAGGCCAGCAGCUACAGCUCCGAUUUAACCCCCAGCCUGGGAACUUCUGUAUGUUGCAGUUGAGGCCCUAAAAAGAAAAGUAAAGAAAAAGGGAUGAGCAAGGAAUAUAAUACAAUCUGUUAUGUAAUGAUGCCAGGGAGGUGUUAUAAAUUUUGAGCCAUAAGUAAGGAAGGGGAAGGGUGACUUCUGAUCUGAGAUCAGAGAAAAACUUAGGGCAGAGGUGGCCUUAGAAGUGAUUCUCAGUCUCGGUAAAGAGGGAAAAUGACCUUUCUGACAGACAGGCUAGUGUGAAGGGUAACUCAGAAGCAAGAAAGAGCAGGGGGAGCUUGGGAGACGCAGAAUGGCUACAACUGGCUGAAGUCUUAGAUUUAAGGCCUGAGAGGGAGGGAAAGGAUGGGUUGCCUAAAGAGUCUGGAUUUGACUUGGAAGUGAUAAGCUGACCAACAUUUUUAAAUUGGGGAGCUACAGUUCACCAUGGUUCUUCAAGGAUUACCUCUCUGAUGAGGAUGGGCAGGAUCCAUUGCAAAGGAAAUCCCUGUCAUUUGUUGGGGCCACAAUAACAAUCUAAGAAGAACCUGGUGAGGAGGACAGGGAGUGGAGAUGGUAGGAAAGAAGAGAGACAUUCUUCCUCCUAGAGUAGGGCUGCCCCAUGCAACGUUCUGUGAUGAUGAUGGAAAUAGCCUAUAUCUGCCCAUCCAAAUUGGUAGCUUCUGGCCACUCACGCCUAAGAAGAACUUGAAAUGAGGCUAGUGGGACAGAGAAAGUGAAUUUUAGGUUGUAUUUAAUUUUAAGUACCUUAAAUCAUUCAAUGUGUCUAGUG
Molecule: long non-coding RNA, 6074 nt
Filed under: Sus scrofa (pig)
Lineage: Eukaryota; Metazoa; Chordata; Mammalia; Artiodactyla; Suidae
Description: lncRNA (ENSSSCG00025048168.1)
Source: RNAcentral